Molecule: ribosomal RNA, 2903 nt
Filed under: Enterobacter cloacae
Lineage: Bacteria; Pseudomonadati; Pseudomonadota; Gammaproteobacteria; Enterobacterales; Enterobacteriaceae
Description: 23S ribosomal RNA
Rfam family: Bacterial large subunit ribosomal RNA
Source: RNAcentral
GGUUAAGCGACUAAGCGUACACGGUGGAUGCCCUGGCAGUCAGAGGCGAUGAAGGACGUGCUAAUCUGCGAAAAGCGCCGGCGAGGUGAUAUGAACCCUUGACCCGGCGAUGUCCGAAUGGGGAAACCCAGUGCAAUCCGUUGCACUAUCGUUAACUGAAUACAUAGGUUAACGAGGCGAACCGGGGGAACUGAAACAUCUAAGUACCCCGAGGAAAAGAAAUCAACCGAGAUUCCCCCAGUAGCGGCGAGCGAACGGGGAGCAGCCCAGAGUCUGAAUCAGCUUGUGUGUUAGUGGAAGCGUCUGGAAAGUCGCACGGUACAGGGUGAAAGUCCCGUACACGAAAGCACACAGGCUGUGAACUCGAAGAGUAGGGCGGGACACGUGGUAUCCUGUCUGAAUAUGGGGGGACCAUCCUCCAAGGCUAAAUACUCCUGACUGACCGAUAGUGAACCAGUACCGUGAGGGAAAGGCGAAAAGAACCCCGGCGAGGGGAGUGAAAAAGAACCUGAAACCGUGUACGUACAAGCAGUGGGAGCACCUUCGGGUGUGACUGCGUACCUUUUGUAUAAUGGGUCAGCGACUUAUAUUCUGUAGCAAGGUUAACCGUAUAGGGGAGCCGAAGGGAAACCGAGUCUUAACUGGGCGUUAAGUUGCAGGGUAUAGACCCGAAACCCGGUGAUCUAGCCAUGGGCAGGUUGAAGGUUGGGUAACACUAACUGGAGGACCGAACCGACUAAUGUUGAAAAAUUAGCGGAUGACCUGUGGCUGGGGGUGAAAGGCCAAUCAAACCGGGAGAUAGCUGGUUCUCCCCGAAAGCUAUUUAGGUAGCGCCUCGUGAACUCAUCUUCGGGGGUAGAGCACUGUUUCGGCUAGGGGGCCAUCCCGGCUUACCAACCCGAUGCAAACUACGAAUACCGAAGAAUGUUAUCACGGGAGACACACGGCGGGUGCUAACGUCCGUCGUGAAGAGGGAAACAACCCAGACCGCCAGCUAAGGUCCCAAAGUCAUGGUUAAGUGGGAAACGAUGUGGGAAGGCCCAGACAGCCAGGAUGUUGGCUUAGAAGCAGCCAUCAUUUAAAGAAAGCGUAAUAGCUCACUGGUCGAGUCGGCCUGCGCGGAAGAUGUAACGGGGCUAAACCAUGCACCGAAGCUGCGGCAGCGACACUAUGUGUUGUUGGGUAGGGGAGCGUUCUGUAAGCCGUUGAAGGUGGCCUGUGAGGGUUGCUGGAGGUAUCAGAAGUGCGAAUGCUGACAUAAGUAACGAUAAAGCGGGUGAAAAGCCCGCUCGCCGGAAGACCAAGGGUUCCUGUCCAACGUUAAUCGGGGCAGGGUGAGUCGACCCCUAAGGCGAGGCCGAAAGGCGUAGUCGAUGGGAAACAGGUUAAUAUUCCUGUACUUGGUGUUACUGCGAAGGGGGGACGGAGAAGGCUAUGUUAGCCGGGCGACGGUUGUCCCGGUUUAAGCAUGUAGGCGGAGGUUCCAGGUAAAUCCGGUACCUUUUAACGCUGAGGUGUGAUGACGAGGCACUACGGUGCUGAAGUAACAAAUGCCCUGCUUCCAGGAAAAGCCUCUAAGCAUCAGGUAACACGAAAUCGUACCCCAAACCGACACAGGUGGUCAGGUAGAGAAUACCAAGGCGCUUGAGAGAACUCGGGUGAAGGAACUAGGCAAAAUGGUGCCGUAACUUCGGGAGAAGGCACGCUGAUAUGUAGGUGAAGCCCCUGCGGGUGGAGCUGAAAUCAGUCGAAGAUACCAGCUGGCUGCAACUGUUUAUUAAAAACACAGCACUGUGCAAACACGAAAGUGGACGUAUACGGUGUGACGCCUGCCCGGUGCCGGAAGGUUAAUUGAUGGGGUUAGCGGUAACGCGAAGCUCUUGAUCGAAGCCCCGGUAAACGGCGGCCGUAACUAUAACGGUCCUAAGGUAGCGAAAUUCCUUGUCGGGUAAGUUCCGACCUGCACGAAUGGCGUAAUGAUGGCCAGGCUGUCUCCACCCGAGACUCAGUGAAAUUGAACUCGCUGUGAAGAUGCAGUGUACCCGCGGCAAGACGGAAAGACCCCGUGAACCUUUACUAUAGCUUGACACUGAACACUGGUCCUUGAUGUGUAGGAUAGGUGGGAGGCUUUGAAGCGUGGACGCCAGUCUGCGUGGAGCCGUCCUUGAAAUACCACCCUUUAAUGGCUGGUGUUCUAACGUAGACCCGUAAUCCGGGUUGCGGACAGUGUCUGGUGGGUAGUUUGACUGGGGCGGUCUCCUCCCAAAGAGUAACGGAGGAGCACGAAGGUUAGCUAAUCCUGGUCGGACAUCAGGAGGUUAGUGCAAUGGCAUAAGCUAGCUUGACUGCGAGAGUGACGGCUCGAGCAGGUGCGAAAGCAGGUCAUAGUGAUCCGGUGGUUCUGAAUGGAAGGGCCAUCGCUCAACGGAUAAAAGGUACUCCGGGGAUAACAGGCUGAUACCGCCCAAGAGUUCAUAUCGACGGCGGUGUUUGGCACCUCGAUGUCGGCUCAUCACAUCCUGGGGCUGAAGUAGGUCCCAAGGGUAUGGCUGUUCGCCAUUUAAAGUGGUACGCGAGCUGGGUUUAGAACGUCGUGAGACAGUUCGGUCCCUAUCUGCCGUGGGCGCUGGAGAAUUGAGGGGGGCUGCUCCUAGUACGAGAGGACCGGAGUGGACGCAUCACUGGUGUUCGGGUUGUCAUGCCAAUGGCACUGCCCGGUAGCUAAAUGCGGAAGAGAUAAGUGCUGAAAGCAUCUAAGCACGAAACUUGCCCCGAGAUGAGUUCUCCCUGAGACUUUGAGUCUCCUGAAGGAACGUUGAAGACGACGACGUUGAUAGGUCGGGUGUGUAAGCGCAGCGAUGCGUUGAGCUAACCGAUACUAAUGAACCGUGAGGCUUAACCUU